AGCGAACGCUGGCGGCAGGCUUAACACAUGCAAGUCGAACGCUCAUCUUCGGAUGGGAGUGGCAGACGGGUGAGUAACACGUGGGAACGUACCCUUCGAUCUGGGAUAACUUCGGGAAACUGGAGCUAAUACCGGAUACGCCCUUUUGGGGAAAGGUUUACUGUCGAAGGAUCGGCCCGCGUCUGAUUAGCUAGUUGGUGGGGUAACGGCCUACCAAGGCGACGAUCAGUAGCUGGUCUGAGAGGAUGAUCAGCCACACUGGGACUGAGACACGGCCCAG
Molecule: ribosomal RNA, 280 nt
Filed under: uncultured bacterium
Lineage: Bacteria
Also listed under: 1 other name
Description: partial 16S ribosomal RNA
Rfam family: Bacterial small subunit ribosomal RNA
Source: RNAcentral